UACGUAGGGGGCAAGCGUUGUCCGGAAUCAUUGGGCGUAAAGCGCGUGUAGGCGGCCCGAUAAGUCCGCUGUGAAAGUCCAGGGCUCAACCCUGGGAUGCCGGUGGAUACUGUCGGGCUCGAGUCCGGAAGAGGCGAGUGGAAUUCCUGGUGUAGCGGUGGAAUGCGCAGAUAUCAGGAGGAACACCGAUGGCGAAGGCAGAUCUCUGGGCCGUAACUGACGCUGAGGAGCGAAAGCAUGGGGAGCGAACAGG
RNAcentral lists this ribosomal RNA (253 nucleotides) under uncultured bacterium. RNAcentral describes it as "partial 16S ribosomal RNA". It matches the Rfam family "Bacterial small subunit ribosomal RNA", at positions 524 to 776 of the family's 1533-position model. The record is from RNAcentral.